GCAUUCCUAUGGGAGGCAGCAGUGAGGAAUAUUGGUCAAUGGGCGAGAGCCUGAACCAGCCAAGUCGCGUGAGGGAAGACGGUCCUAUGGAUUGUAAACCUCUUUUGCCGGGGAGCAAAAAGCGGUACGUGUACCGCAUCGAGAGUACCCGGAGAAAAAGCAUCGGCUAACUCCGUGCCAGCAGCCGCGGUAAUACGGAGGAUGCGAGCGUUAUCCGGAUUUAUUGGGUUUAAAGGGUGCGCAGGCGGAAGCGCAAGUCAGCGGUAAAAUUGAGAGGCUCAACCUCUUCCCGCCGUUGAAACUGC
RNAcentral lists this ribosomal RNA (305 nucleotides) under uncultured bacterium. Its description in RNAcentral is "bacterial SSU rRNA". It matches the Rfam family "Bacterial small subunit ribosomal RNA", at positions 333 to 636 of the family's 1533-position model. The record is from RNAcentral.